ACAAAGAAAGAGAAAGCAGGUUUCGAGCUGGUGCCAAUUCAGCUUGGUGUGCAGUGGGCUUAGCAGUGUGUGUAAGAGUACUUAUUGGUGUGUUUAAAAGCAGGGCCAGUCCAGUGAGUAACUGCUACUCCCAGAGACGUGGGCAUGGCCGUGGCCACCAGCUGACGAUGCAGUAGGAAGGCGGCAUCGAGCUUUCCCGUUGUGCUUUCAGCAGGAUCUGCCAAGGGGAAGGUGGUGAAACAUCUUCCUAAAACCCGAUCAGAGAUCCUCAUGAGAAGGCUGCUGAGGAAGGUAGUCACUGAACAAUCAAACAACAUGGGAGAUGUCACCACACAUGAUGGUCCAAGUGUUGUCAAGGAGAUAUUGGAUGCUUAGCAGAAAUACAUGGAGAAGAGUUCCUCUAGCAGAUGGCUCUGGAAUCUCUCUCCUCUGGAAAUGCGGAAGGUCUCAAAUAACCAGCCAAACGACAUAGUUCUCUCUUGGUGUUUUUUAAAAAUCUCUCUGUUCCCUGCUAGGGGAACAAGAUUUUCCGCUCCACAGCGUAUUUUGAGAUGCACAGAGCUAGGAGCAAUCUGCAGUUCUGCACAGUCAUGAUGACAACUGGAUCAGCUGUAGGAAUGGACUUCACCACUUCCUUGGUCUUCAAGUUUUUUCUCUUUAUAAACCACCUGUGCAAACACUGCGCUGCCCAGGAGAGGGUGAGAGAAUGUGUGGAUGAUGCUAACGAGACCUGCAGUGAAAUAAAUGAGAUUCCUCUUUCUUCUUCCAGAGGACUUGCUUGGAACAUCUAUUUGAAAAGGGAAGGUGUUAGCAUUAUGUUCAGCCUGAGUCCUUCAUGAAUGCUGCUGAUCUCAAGUGGCUUAGUAUUUCUCCUGUGUUCAUAAACAAAUGCUUCCUGGCUAUUCUGCCUUGUUAACUUAGGUGAAGCGCAUGUGAGAGAAGGAGGAAUGUCUGGAGAAUGAAACCAAGAUGAAUAUGUAUUUGUCUUCACUCAGAAACAUCCAAAAUGCUUUCUUGUUAGCCUGCUUGAAUAUGACACAGUAACAAAAGAACUGAAAGUCUGAAUGGUGGGGCUGAGGUUUCCCAAUGGUGUCCAGCUCUCUCCUGCAGAAGACUUUGUCCUGGUGCAGGAGACAACCCUGGCUAGUAUCAGGAGGUGAGUAUGACUUAGCUGAAAUUAUUGGUACUCUCUGUUUAGAGAUUGUGUGAAUAAAUGAGUUGAAUGACAAAAGAAAUCCUACACUCUCUUCGUGCCUAGUUAGCAACGGCAAAGAAGGUGGCCUUCCUCAAUACUUAAUUUUUUUCUUUCACUGUAAACAUCUGGACUGCAUAAUCUUUCCAUCAUGGGCUCCUUGAGCAUAGUGAGUAAGCUGACUUUUUCUGGGGAGAGGAAUGCGGCUCUGCUGCAUUUCCCUGUACCAAAACAAGGAAAAAAAUAAAUUCUUUUUAUUUUUGAAAGUGAA
Long non-coding RNA from Gymnogyps californianus (California condor), 1463 nucleotides. RefSeq lists it as uncharacterized. The transcript has 3 exons. Lineage: Eukaryota; Metazoa; Chordata; Aves; Accipitriformes; Cathartidae. The record is from RefSeq and is a predicted model, not a curated record.